RNAcentral lists this ribosomal RNA (288 nucleotides) under uncultured cyanobacterium. Its description in RNAcentral is "partial 16S ribosomal RNA". It matches the Rfam family "Bacterial small subunit ribosomal RNA", at positions 32 to 348 of the family's 1533-position model. The record is from RNAcentral. Lineage: Bacteria; Bacillati; Cyanobacteriota.
AUGUAACGCUGGCGGUCUGCUUAACACAUGCAAGUCGAACGAACUCUUCGGAGUGAGUGGCGGACGGGUGAGUAACGCGUGAGAAUCUGGCUGUGGGUCGGGACAACCACUGGAACGGUGGCUAAUACCGGAUGAGACCGAAAGGUAAAGAUUUAUUGCCCACAGAUGAGCUCGCGUCUGAUUAGCUAGUUGGUAAGGUAAAGCGUACCAGGCGACGAUCAGUAGCUGGUCUGAGAGGAUGAGCAGCCACACGUGGGACUGAGACACGGCCCAGACUCCUACGGGAGC